GUGGUACCCGCUUCGGCAGCACAUUUACUAAAAUUGGAAUGAUACAGAGAAGAUUAGCAGGGCCCCUGCACAAGGAUGACAUGCAGUUCAUGAAACAUUCCAUAUUUUU
Molecule: small nuclear RNA, 109 nt
Organism: Manis pentadactyla (Chinese pangolin)
Lineage: Eukaryota; Metazoa; Chordata; Mammalia; Pholidota; Manidae
Source: RefSeq, a predicted model, not a curated record